GCAGGUACAGAGGGCAGCUACCCAGCAAUGGGAUGCGAAUCUCGAAAGCCUGUCUCAGUUCGGAUUGGAGGCUGAAACCCGCCUCCAUGAAGUUGGAUUCGCUAGUAAUCGCGCAUCAGCCAUGGCGCGGUGAAUACGUUCCCGGGCCUUGUACACACCGCCCGUCAAGCCAUGGGAGCCGGGGGCGCCUGAAGUCCGGGACCGCGAGGACCGGCCUAGGGCGAAACUGGUAACUGGGGCUAAGUCGUAACAAGGUACC
This 259-nucleotide ribosomal RNA is filed under the name uncultured bacterium. RNAcentral's name for it is "partial 16S ribosomal RNA". It matches the Rfam family "Bacterial small subunit ribosomal RNA", at positions 1233 to 1500 of the family's 1533-position model. The record is from RNAcentral.